GAUGAACGCUGGCGGCGUGCCUAAUACAUGCAAGUCGAGCGAACAGAUGAGGAGCUUGCUCCUCUGACGUUAGCGGCGGACGGGUGAGUAACACGUGGAUAACCUACCUAUAAGACUGGGAUAACUUCGGGAAACCGGAGCUAAUACCGGAUAAUAUAUUGAACCGCAUGGUUCAAUAGUGAAAGACGGUUUUGCUGUCACUUAUAGAUGGAUCCGCGCCGCAUUAGCUAGUUGGUAAGGUAACGGCUUACCAAGGCAACGAUGCGUAGCCGACCUGAGAGGGUGAUCGGCCACACUGGAACUGAGACACGGUCCAGACUCCUACGGGAGGCAGCAGUAGGGAAUCUUCCGCAAUGGGCGAAAGCCUGACGGAGCAGCGCCGCGUGGGUGAUGAAGGUCUUCGGAUCGUAAAACUCUCUUAUUAGGGAAGAACAAUUGUGUAAGUAACUAUGCACGUCUUGACGGUACCUAAUCAGAAAGCCACGGCUAACUACGUG
Molecule: ribosomal RNA, 497 nt
Filed under: uncultured bacterium
Lineage: Bacteria
Description: partial 16S ribosomal RNA
Rfam family: Bacterial small subunit ribosomal RNA
Source: RNAcentral